UACGUAGGGCGCGAAGCGUUAUCCGGAAUUCGAUUGGGCGUAAAGAGCUCGUAGGCGGUUUGUCGCGUCUGCCCGUGAAAAGUCCGGGGGCUCAACUCCGGAUCUGCGGUGGGUACGGGCAGACUAGAGUGAUGUAGGGGAGACUGGAAUUCCUGGUGUAGCGGUGAAAUGCGCAGAUAUCAGGAGGAACACCGGUGGCGAAGGCGGGUCUCUGGGCAACAACUGACGCUGGAGGAGCGAAAGCGUGGGGAGCGAACAGG
Molecule: ribosomal RNA, 260 nt
Filed under: uncultured bacterium
Lineage: Bacteria
Description: partial 16S ribosomal RNA
Rfam family: Bacterial small subunit ribosomal RNA
Source: RNAcentral